This 254-nucleotide ribosomal RNA is filed under the name uncultured bacterium. RNAcentral's name for it is "partial 16S ribosomal RNA". It matches the Rfam family "Bacterial small subunit ribosomal RNA", at positions 333 to 584 of the family's 1533-position model. The record is from RNAcentral.
CAUUUCCUACGGGGGGCAGCAGUGAGGAAUAUUGGUCAAUGGGCGCGAGCCUGAACCAGCCAAGUCGCGUGAGGGAAGACGGUCCUAUGGAUUGUAAACCUCUUUUGUCGGGGAGCAAAACACGCCACGUGUGGCGUUCCGAGAGUACCCGAAGAAAAAGCAUCGGCUAACUCCGUGCCAGCAGCCGCGGUAAUACGGUGGAUGCGAGCGUUAUCCGGAUUUAUUGGGUUUAAAGGGUGCGCAGGCGGUAGAUC